RNAcentral lists this ribosomal RNA (1368 nucleotides) under Vibrio sp. LC1-266. Its description in RNAcentral is "16S ribosomal RNA". It matches the Rfam family "Bacterial small subunit ribosomal RNA", at positions 90 to 1454 of the family's 1533-position model. Lineage: Bacteria; Pseudomonadati; Pseudomonadota; Gammaproteobacteria; Vibrionales; Vibrionaceae. The record is from RNAcentral.
GUCGAGCGGCGGACGGGUGAGUAAUGCCUAGGAAAUUGCCCUGAUGUGGGGGAUAACCAUUGGAAACGAUGGCUAAUACCGCAUGAUGCCUACGGGCCAAAGAGGGGGACCUUCGGGCCUCUCGCGUCAGGAUAUGCCUAGGUGGGAUUAGCUAGUUGGUGAGGUAAUGGCUCACCAAGGCGACGAUCCCUAGCUGGUCUGAGAGGAUGAUCAGCCACACUGGAACUGAGACACGGUCCAGACUCCUACGGGAGGCAGCAGUGGGGAAUAUUGCACAAUGGGCGCAAGCCUGAUGCAGCCAUGCCGCGUGUGUGAAGAAGGCCUUCGGGUUGUAAAGCACUUUCAGUCGUGAGGAAGGUGGURKWGUUAAUAGCWCUAUCAUUUGACGUUAGCGACAGAAGAAGCACCGGCUAACUCCGUGCCAGCAGCCGCGGUAAUACGGAGGGUGCGAGCGUUAAUCGGAAUUACUGGGCGUAAAGCGCAUGCAGGUGGUUUGUUAAGUCAGAUGUGAAAGCCCGGGGCUCAACCUCGGAAUAGCAUUUGAAACUGGCAGACUAGAGUACUGUAGAGGGGGGUAGAAUUUCAGGUGUAGCGGUGAAAUGCGUAGAGAUCUGAAGGAAUACCGGUGGCGAAGGCGGCCCCCUGGACAGAUACUGACACUCAGAUGCGAAAGCGUGGGGAGCAAACAGGAUUAGAUACCCUGGUAGUCCACGCCGUAAACGAUGUCUACUUGGAGGUUGUGGCCUUGAGCCGUGGCUUUCGGAGCUAACGCGUUAAGUAGACCGCCUGGGGAGUACGGUCGCAAGAUUAAAACUCAAAUGAAUUGACGGGGGCCCGCACAAGCGGUGGAGCAUGUGGUUUAAUUCGAUGCAACGCGAAGAACCUUACCUACUCUUGACAUCCAGAGAACUUUCCAGAGAUGGAUUGGUGCCUUCGGGAACUCUGAGACAGGUGCUGCAUGGCUGUCGUCAGCUCGUGUUGUGAAAUGUUGGGUUAAGUCCCGCAACGAGCGCAACCCUUAUCCUUGUUUGCCAGCGAGUAAUGUCGGGAACUCCAGGGAGACUGCCGGUGAUAAACCGGAGGAAGGUGGGGACGACGUCAAGUCAUCAUGGCCCUUACGAGUAGGGCUACACACGUGCUACAAUGGCGCAUACAGAGGGCAGCAAGCUAGCGAUAGUGAGCGAAUCCCAAAAAGUGCGUCGUAGUCCGGAUUGGAGUCUGCAACUCGACUCCAUGAAGUCGGAAUCGCUAGUAAUCGUGGAUCAGAAUGCCACGGUGAAUACGUUCCCGGGCCUUGUACACACCGCCCGUCACACCAUGGGAGUGGGCUGCAAAAGAAGUAGGUAGUUUAACCUUCGGGAGGACGCU